CCUGUUGAUCCUGCAGGAGGUCGCUGCUAUCAGGGUUCGGUUAAGCCAUGCAAGUCAAGGGGUCGCAAGACACCGACAAACUGCACAGUAACACGUUGAUAAUCUGCCCUUAGGUCUAGAAUAACCUUGGAAACCUGAGGCUAAAUCUGGAUGAGAGACUCGUUCUGGAAAGAAGUGUCUCUAAAAGGUAACGCCUAAGGAUGAGUCAGCGGCCGAUUAGGUAGUUGGUGGGGUAAAGGCCCACCAAGCCUACGAUCGGUAGGGGCCUUGGAAGAGGUUGCCCCGAGAAGGGAACUGAGAUACUGUCCCUAGCCCUACGGGGUGCAGCAGGCGCGAGAACUCUACAAUGCACGAAAGUGUGAUAGGGGAACCCUGAGUGCUCAGCUUUGCUGGGCUUUUGCUAAGAGUAAAUAUCUUGGCGAAUAAGUGGUGGGUAAGACGGGUGCCAGCCGCCGCGGUAACACCCGCGCCACAAGUGGCGAUCGUUAUUAUUGGGCCUAAAGCGUCCGUAGCAGGCAUUGCAAAUCUUCUGUGAAAUUGUUGCGCUUAACGUAACAGCGGGCAGGAGACACUUCUAUGCUUGGGACCGGGAGGAGUCAGAGGUAUUUCUUGGGGAGCGGUAAAAUGCUAUAAUCCAAGAAGGACCACCGAUGGCGAAGGCAUCUGACUAGAACGGAUCCGACUGUGAGGGACGAAAGCCAGGGGAGCGAACCGGAUUAGAUACCCGAGUAGUCCUGGCUGUAAACGCUGCGAGCUAGGUGUUGCGCAAUCUUAGGGAUUGCGCAGUAUCGAAGCGAAGGCGAUAAGCUCGCCGCCUGGGAAGUACGGUCGCAAGGCUGAAACUUAAAGGAAUUGGCGGGGGAGCACUACAAGGGGUGCGGCGUGCGGUUUAAUCUAACUAUACACAGAGAAUCUCACCAGCAGCGACGGCAUAAUGAAAGUCAGAUUGAAGGUUUUACUUGACGAGCCGAGAGGUGGUGCAUGGCCGCCGUCAGCUCGUGCCGUAAGGUGUCCAGCUAAGUCUGGUAACGAGCGAGACCUGUGCCUACAAUUGCUAACGGGCGCUUUUGCGUGACCGAGCACAUUGUAGGGACUGCCCUGGAAACAGGGAGGAAGGUGCAGGCUACGGUAGGUCUGUAUGCCCCGAAUCUGCUGGGCUACACGCGCGCAACAAUGGUAACGACAAUGGGCUGCAACUCCGAAAGGAGAAGCUAAUCCUCGAAACGUUAUCCAAGUCCAGAUUGAGGGUUGUAACUCACCCUCAUGACGUUGGAAUCCCUAGUAAUCGGACGUUAUCAGCGUCCGGUGAAUACGUCCCUGCUCCUUGCACACACCGCCCGUCAAACCACUCGAGCAGGGUUUAGAUGAGGCAUGGUUUAACUGAUCAUGUCGAAUCUAAGCUCAGUGAGAAGGGUUAAGUCGUCACAAGGUA
This 1432-nucleotide ribosomal RNA is filed under the name metagenome. RNAcentral's name for it is "bacterial SSU rRNA". It matches the Rfam family "Archaeal small subunit ribosomal RNA". The record is from RNAcentral.